RNAcentral lists this ribosomal RNA (465 nucleotides) under uncultured bacterium. Its description in RNAcentral is "partial 16S ribosomal RNA". It matches the Rfam family "Bacterial small subunit ribosomal RNA", at positions 28 to 507 of the family's 1533-position model. The record is from RNAcentral.
GACGAACGCUGGCGGCGUGCUUAACACAUGCAAGUCGAACGGAAAGGCCCUGCUUGCAGGGUACUCGAGUGGCGAACGGGUGAGUAACACGUGGGUGAUCUGCCCUGCACUUCGGGAUAAGCUUGGGAAACUGGGUCUAAUACCGGAUAGGACCGCACUUUAGUGUGUGUGGUGGAAAGUUUUUUCGGUGUAGGAUGAGCUCGCGGCCUAUCAGCUUGUUGGUGGGGUAAUGGCCUACCAAGGCGGCGACGGGUAGCCGGCCUGAGAGGGUGUACGGCCACAUUGGGACUGAGAUACGGCCCAGACUCCUACGGGAGGCAGCAGUGGGGAAGAUUGCACAAUGGGCGCAAGCCUGAUGCAGCGACGCCGCGUGGGGGAUGAAGGCCUUCGGGUUGUAAACUCCUUUCGCUAGGGACGAAGCUUUUUGUGACGGUACCUAGAUAAGAAGCACCGGCUAACUACGUG